This 65-nucleotide transfer RNA is filed under the name Dipodomys ordii (Ord's kangaroo rat). It matches the Rfam family "tRNA". From Rfam's summary of the family: Transfer RNA (tRNA) molecules are approximately 80 nucleotides in length. Their secondary structure includes four short double-helical elements and three loops (D, anti-codon, and T loops). Further hydrogen bonds mediate the characteristic L-shaped molecular structure. tRNAs have two regions of fundamental functional importance: the anti-codon, which is responsible for specific mRNA codon recognition, and the 3' end, to which the tRNAs corresponding amino acid is attached (by aminoacyl-tRNA synthetases). tRNAs cope with the degeneracy of the genetic code in two manners: having more than one tRNA (with a specific anti-codon) for a particular amino acid; and 'wobble' base-pairing, i.e. permitting non-standard base-pairing at the 3rd anti-codon position. Lineage: Eukaryota; Metazoa; Chordata; Mammalia; Rodentia; Heteromyidae. The record is from Rfam by way of RNAcentral.
GGUGGCUCAGUGUUAGAGCACUUGCCUUGCAUGCAUGAGGCCCUGGGUUCAAUUCUUCAGCACCA